UGUAGUAACUGACCAGAAGGAUCAGGCAGAGAGGAUACAGAGGGAGCAAAAGUUCCUACAAGAACUUAUCAGCCCUGAUAACGACUUAGAAUUUGAAAAUGUAACUCCCUCCCAGUCUAAAGAGCAGAAACAGAUGGGUACACAUCACAGUCACGGGUGAUAGCAGAGGUGACAUUUUACCUGAGAGCAGGAGAAUGGCAGAGUGGAUGGGUCUUUCCAAUGGAGGGUACUGUGUCUCAGGUGCAAUGGAGGGUACUGUGUCUAAGGUGCAGUGUAGGAUACUGUGUCUAAGGUGCAGUGUAGGGUACUGUGUCUCAGGUGCAAUAGAGGGUACUGUGUCUCAGGUGCAGUGUAGGAUACUGUGUCUAAGGUGCAGUGUAGGGUACUGUGUCUCAGGUGCAAUAGAGGGUACUGUGUCUCAGGUGCAGUGUAGGGUACUGUGUCUCAGGUGCAAUGGAGGGUACUGUGUCUCAGGUGCAAUGGAGAGUACUGUGUCUCAGGUGCAGUGUAGGGUACUGUGUCUAAGGUGCAGUGUAGGGUACUGUGUCUCAGGUGCAAUGGAGGGUACUGUGUCUCAGGUGCAGUGUAGGGUACUGUGUCUAAGGUGCAGUGUAGGGUACUGUGUCUCAGGUGCAAUGGAGGGUACUGUGUCUCAGGUGCAGUGUAGGGUACUGUGUCUAAGGUGCAGUGUAGGGUACUGUGUCUAAGGUGCAGUGUAGGGUACUGUGUCUCAGGUGCAAUGGAGGGUACUGAGUCUAAGGUGCAGUGUAGGGUACUAUGUCUAAGGUGCAAUGGAAGGUACUGUGUCUACCUAGACCUCACAUGUUGUAUUAUUAAAGUGCUUCCUGCAGGAGACAGGAGGCUUUGAUCUCUCAGCCUAGAUUCUACAGGGCAUGGACCCCUCUAAGUCUGGGAGAAUCAGUGUGAGGUUAUACUUCAAGCUAGAUCUCCAGCCUAGGCCAGCAGAGAGCAGGAACCAGGGUGUAGUGUGAGAUAAUGGAGAAGGCCUGAACAGGGGUGGAGGCGGGGCCUGGGGAAGUGACAAACUGCCAAUCAUCAGUUGGCCCAUCUAGAUGGAGGAAAAGAGCUGCAGAGUUUGAGGACCCAGAGGGUAUAACUGCCAAGGUUGAUAUGCACCUGCUCCUGAGAAGGGCUCGUCACACCAGGAGAUCCAUAGGCUCCGAACUCUGGAUUCAGAGGCUCUGGAUGGAACCCAGGAAUCCAUAUACAGGAAAAUAUGGCAGGCUAUGGAAAUAUUACUUAAGUGGUGUGAUGAUACAGGGGAUGUGUCAAAAUCCAUUAACUGUGCUCCUUAAAAGAUGUGCAACUUACCGAAUGUAAGAUCUGCCUCCAGCCAGGUGUGGUGGUUCGUGCCUACUCUGGUACGGGUGGGCUCCACAUCUUGUGGCUGCCAAUUUAGCCUCUCCAGGCUCCUGGAGCUGGGGGCAGAAUGGCCCCACUCUCACCUGGAUAGAGGCUAACGUGGCCAGAGAGCCAGGUAAAAGCAGCAUAUAUAAAGCUCUGGAUGUGACAUGAACAAAAGUUGUGUCUCUACCGCUGCAGCUAAAGAAUAGCAAUUGACUGGCCCUGGCCACCCCACAUCACAAUGGCUCCUGAUCAUCUUUCAUAAAACGACCAUGGUGGUACGUUCCUGUAACAAUAGCACUUGGGAGGUGAAAGCAGAAGAAUCAGAACUUCAAGGUGAGAGU
Molecule: long non-coding RNA, 1709 nt
Filed under: Mus musculus (house mouse)
Lineage: Eukaryota; Metazoa; Chordata; Mammalia; Rodentia; Muridae
Description: long non-coding RNA chr18:36336834-36338543
Source: RNAcentral